UUGGAGUCUAGCCAAGUUGGUAAGGCGCCCGUUUUUGGUACGGGGACCGGAGGUUCGAGUCCUUCGACUCCAAA
Molecule: transfer RNA, 74 nt
Filed under: Cladosiphon okamuranus
Lineage: Eukaryota; Phaeophyceae; Ectocarpales; Chordariaceae
Description: tRNA-Gln
Rfam family: tRNA
About the family: Transfer RNA (tRNA) molecules are approximately 80 nucleotides in length.
Source: RNAcentral